AUUGAACGCUGGCGGCAUGCUUUACACAUGCAAGUCGAACGGCAGCGCGGGCUUCGGCCUGGCGGCGAGUGGCGAACGGGUGAGUAAUAUAUCGGAACGUACCCAAGAGUGGGGGAUAACGUAGCGAAAGUUACGCUAAUACCGCAUACGAUCUAAGGAUGAAAGCAGGGGAUCGCAAGACCUUGUGCUCCUGGAGCGGCCGAUAUCUGAUUAGCUAGUUGGUGGGGUAAAGGCCCACCAAGGCAACGAUCAGUAGCUGGUCUGAGAGGACGACCAGCCACACUGGAACUGAGACACGGUCCAGACUCCUACGGGAGGUAGCAGUGGGGGAAUUUUGGACAAUGGGGGGCAACCCUGAUCCAGCAAUGCCGCGUGAGUGAAGAAGGCCUUCGGGUUGUAAAGGCUCUUUUGUCUAGGGAAGAAAAGGACUGUGGCUAAUAUCCACAGCUGCUGACGGUACCUGAAGAAUAAGCACCGGCUAACUACGUGCCAGCAGCCGCGGUAAU
RNAcentral lists this ribosomal RNA (506 nucleotides) under uncultured bacterium. RNAcentral describes it as "bacterial SSU rRNA". It matches the Rfam family "Bacterial small subunit ribosomal RNA", at positions 30 to 524 of the family's 1533-position model. The record is from RNAcentral.